Molecule: ribosomal RNA, 253 nt
Filed under: uncultured bacterium
Lineage: Bacteria
Description: partial 16S ribosomal RNA
Rfam family: Bacterial small subunit ribosomal RNA
Source: RNAcentral
UACAGAGGGGGCAAGCGUUAUUCGGAAUUAUUGGGCGUAAAGGGCGCGUAGGCGGCCUGACAAGUGGAAGGUGAAAUCCCUCGGCUUAACCGAGGAACUGCCCUCCAAACUGUCUGGCUUGAGACCGGGAGAGGUGAGUGGAAUUCCCAGUGUAGCGGUGAAAUGCGUAGAUAUUGGGAGGAACACCAGUGGCGAAGGCGGCUCACUGGACCGGUACUGACGCUGAGGCGCGAAAGCUAGGGGAGCAAACGGG